Molecule: ribosomal RNA, 265 nt
Filed under: uncultured prokaryote
Description: partial 16S ribosomal RNA
Rfam family: Bacterial small subunit ribosomal RNA
Source: RNAcentral
UACGGAGGAUGCGAGCGUUAUCCGGAUUUAUUGGGUUUAAAGGGUGCGCAGGCGGGAGAUUAAGUCGGCGGUGAAAUUUUGCAGCUCAACUGUAAAAGUGCCUUCGAAACUGGUUUCCUUGAGUGUAGAUGAAGUAGGCGGAAUUUGUGGUGUAGCGGUGAAAUGCAUAGAUAUCACGAGGAACUCCGAUUGCGCAGGCAGCUUACUAAACCAUAACUGACGCUCAGGCACGAAGGCGUGGGGAUCAAACAGGAUUAGAUACCCU